GUCCAGGGUAGCCUAGUGGACAUGGCAUCUGCGCGGUAAGCGGAAGGUCGUGGGUUCCCAUACCUGGACA
Molecule: transfer RNA, 70 nt
Filed under: Cordylochernes scorpioides
Lineage: Eukaryota; Metazoa; Arthropoda; Arachnida; Pseudoscorpiones; Chernetidae
Description: tRNA-Thr
Source: RNAcentral